GCAGCACCCCUGCCUCUAUUGGAAGCUGCCACAUUCUCCAUGGAGGGAGAAGCUCACUCCAGUGCCACUCCUACCCAAAUGAAGUACGCAGUAAAAGCUUAUUGACUUAACUCCUGACUGAGAUCUCCCAGAGAGAGGAUCCCAACAACAGCAGAAAGUCUUCCUACCCACUGAUUCCUUCUCCAGAAAAAUUCAGACUUCAGUGAAGAUGACUGAUUCCAAGGAGCUCUCAUUCAUGCAAGUCCUACUGAUUGAAGUGACUGCAUUUUUCCUUCAAGCUGCCCUCCUCUUACUUCUUUACAUUUUACUCAGGAGGCAAAUUGCCAACUGCGUUCAAAUGGUGAAAGCUGCAAGCACCCUGGUCCAGGAACUGAAGAAGCCAAAAAGUAAUACUGAGUCACCUGCCUCAGAAAAGACAAAGUGUAAAAGGAGUGCUCCAGCUUCCCAGAAUUAUAGGGACUCAAUGCAAAUGCCACAUUCUACAGGAGGACUUUCCCAGAAACUUGAACUGUUCCUGCCUUCCCCCAAAGAUGAUCUAUUCUACGAACGCCACAGUGGCAGUGAUUCCUCCUCAGAGAGCUCUGACAGCUCAGAAGGAUAUCCUUCAACUUCCACCAGCAAGGCACCCAGAGAUGUGAAUUACAGCACCCUGGUCUUUCCAGCCACUGAUUGCCAAAGGGCUUUGUCUCCUAAGAACUAUGAGAACACAAAGGCAGCCGGCGAUUAUGUCAAUGUGGAUCCCAAGAACUGUAAAAAGAAUGCCUGGAAUUUCAGUUACUCCUCUGAGCCAGUGGAAUACACAGAAGUGGCUAUGUGAAUUCUGACAACCAAAAGGGACUCGCUUCUCCACGGUCUUGGAUUUGAGUUAAAAGAAAAUAUCUUAAUAAUACAGAAAAUAUCUUAAUAAUAAUAUCUUAAUAAUAAUAGGGGACAGCUGGGUGACUCAAUAGAAUGAAAACCAGACUUAGAGACAGGAGGUCCUGGAUUCAAAUCUAGUCUCACAUUCCCUAGCUGUCACUUAACCCCCAUUGCCUUAGCCCUUACCCCCUUUGCCUUGAAACCAAUACAUAGUAUCAAUUCUAAGAUAGAUGGUAAGGGUUUAAAAAAUAAAUAACAUAACAAGAAGGAUUCUGGUUAGAGC
RNAcentral lists this long non-coding RNA (1141 nucleotides) under Monodelphis domestica (gray short-tailed opossum). Its description in RNAcentral is "lncRNA (ENSMODG00000034432.2)". Lineage: Eukaryota; Metazoa; Chordata; Mammalia; Didelphimorphia; Didelphidae. The record is from RNAcentral.